AAUAAUCACUGAGUUGCUGCUUGAUUUUAGACAUACUGAUGGUAUGAGAAAACAUAAUAAGUGGGGUUGUCAUUCUGCCGAAUGGUACUAUAUCCUACAUUAUAAAUAUUAAUGCAAGCAUACCAUGAGCUGACCCUUCCUUUUUGCUGGACUAGGUGUAUGCCAUGAAUUUAGAGGUUUAGCAGGGGCUAUGCUGGUAUUCAUGAUUUAAAUGACAUUUAUGUAGGCCUGAACUUGGCAGAGUGAGGAUAGUAUGCACGUUACAGUGGAGUAACUCUGAGUAAACCAAAGCAAAGAGCACGGUCAGAAGAGCAGCUGUGCAAGCAUGGAGAGCUUUUCGACAGGAUUGUCGCUAGAUAGCACUACAAAAUUGAGAUCAUGGGCCUUUAUUCAUCUCGCCUGCGCGUUUCGGUGAUUCUACACUAGCUGAUAUUAUUGGAUUUGAUGUUCAGCCUUUUUCUGUUCUAUUGGUUGAUCAUGCCGGGGAGUCUUCUGCUACUCAUUCUUCUAUGGAUACGGAUACUUGGAAGCUCACAGUUCGUCUUGAAUUAAGCACAUGUUAUCAGUCUAUCACCGGAGUGAAUUAGUUUUUCCAACAUCAAUUGACAACUUAUGUACAACUGUUACUUGGUUGCUUGAUGCUAAAUCUGAUGCACGCUGGUGCCUCUACAUAUAAGUGUGAGGGCGUCAAUGCAAGCAACAUGGACGCUGAUGCGGGCGAACACAGCGGAGAUAAGGCACAAGAGCUUUCCAGUGAAUCUAAGAUCACGGGCAGGUAGUGUAUCAUGAUGGAGGCUAUUCGAUGAAUACCGCCAUAGGAACACCGCUCUUGCUGCUGGCGCCACCACUGCGUCCAGCUCUACAUAGGAUGGUACUAGGUUCUCUGUCUCCAGGGCCAGAGCACCUUUGCACCAAUUAGGUUCAAAUUCAUUUUGACUGUUUAUGUAAAGGACUUUUCUCUCCGUCUCAAAUAUCACUUACAUUUUAGAAAUUGGUUGCUCAUACUGUAGUAAGAGGUGAAGAAUCACUAUGCUGAAUUGUGGCUUCAGAAGAUGUAUAUGUCGGCA
Molecule: long non-coding RNA, 1067 nt
Organism: Lolium rigidum
Lineage: Eukaryota; Viridiplantae; Streptophyta; Magnoliopsida; Poales; Poaceae
Exons: 4
Source: RefSeq, a predicted model, not a curated record